CAAGUCGAACGAGCGAGAGAGAGCUUGCUUUCUCGAGCGAGUGGCGAACGGGUGAGUAACGCGUGAGGAACCUGCCUCAAAGAGGGGGACAACAGUUGGAAACGACUGCUAAUACCGCAUAAGCCCACGGCUCGGCAUCGAGCAGGGGGAAAAGGAGUAAUCCGCUUUGAGAUGGCCUCGCGUCCGAUUAGCUAGUUGGUGAGGUAACGGCCCACCAAGGCGACGAUCGGUAGCCGGACUGAGAGGUUGAACGGCCACAUUGGGACUGAGACACGGCCCAGACUCCUACGGGAGGCAGCAGUGGGGAAUAUUGCACAAUGGGGGAAACCCUGAUGCAGCGACGCCGCGUGGAGGAAGAAGGUCUUCGGAUUGUAAACUCCUGUUGUUGGGGAAGAUAAUGACGGUACCCAACAAGGAAGUGACGGCUAACUACGUGCCAGCAGCCGCGGUAAAACGUAGGUCACAAGCGUUGUCCGGAAUUACUGGGUGUAAAGGGAGCG
Molecule: ribosomal RNA, 500 nt
Filed under: uncultured bacterium
Lineage: Bacteria
Description: bacterial SSU rRNA
Rfam family: Bacterial small subunit ribosomal RNA
Source: RNAcentral